RNAcentral lists this small nucleolar RNA (135 nucleotides) under Dufourea novaeangliae. RNAcentral's name for it is "Small nucleolar RNA snoR639/H1". It matches the Rfam family "Small nucleolar RNA snoR639/H1". Rfam says of the family: snoR639 or snoH1 belongs to the H/ACA class of snoRNAs which are thought to guide the sites of modification of uridines to pseudouridines. snoH1 is found in an intron of the mfl gene in Drosophila. The record is from Rfam by way of RNAcentral. Lineage: Eukaryota; Metazoa; Arthropoda; Insecta; Hymenoptera; Halictidae.
ACCCCACACUAUUAAGCCGGCAGUUUCAGUGUAUCCUAAUUGAAAAUGUGAGCUCGUUGUGGGAACAGCAAAGUCUGCUAAUUGUGUAUGGUUGUAUUGAUUAUGUGGAUGCAAUCAAAGAAUUAUUGCGGGACA